CAUGCCGCGUGUGUGAAGAAGGCCUUCGGAUUGUAAAGCACUUUUGUCCGGAAAGAAAUCGCACUGGUUAAUACCUGGUGUGGAUGACGGUACCGGAAGAAUAAGGACCGGCUAACUACGUGCCAGCAGCCGCGGUAAUA
RNAcentral lists this ribosomal RNA (140 nucleotides) under uncultured Ralstonia sp. RNAcentral's name for it is "partial 16S ribosomal RNA". It matches the Rfam family "Bacterial small subunit ribosomal RNA", at positions 393 to 525 of the family's 1533-position model. The record is from RNAcentral. Lineage: Bacteria; Pseudomonadati; Pseudomonadota; Betaproteobacteria; Burkholderiales; Burkholderiaceae.